UUCGGUGAGGAGUGGCGAACGGGUGAGUAACACGUAGGUAACGUACCCUUUGGCGGGGGAUAACUCGAGGAAACUCGAGCUAAUACCGCAUAUCGCCAACCAUCUAUAAGGAAGGUUGGUGAAAGUCUUCGGACACCAAAGGAGCGGCCUGCGGCCCAUUAUUUAGUCCUAGUUGGUAAGGUAACGGCUUACCAAGGGUACGAUGGGUAGCUGGUCUGAGAGGAUGAUCAGCCACACUGGGACUGAGACACGGCCCAGACUCCUACGGGAGGCAGCAGUGGGGAAUAUUGCGCAAUGGGGGAAACCCUGACGCAGCCACGCCGCGUGAGUGAUGAAGGCCUUCGGGUUGUAAAGCUCUGUCGGGAGGGACGAAGAUAGUUUACUAUUUGACGGUACCUCGCAAGAAAGCACCGGCUAACUCCGUGCCAGCAGCCGCGGUAAUACGGAGGGUGCAAGCGUUGCUCGGAAUCACUGGGCGUAAAGCGAGCGCAGGCGGUAUGAUAAGUUGGGUGUGAA
RNAcentral lists this ribosomal RNA (516 nucleotides) under uncultured Gammaproteobacteria bacterium. Its description in RNAcentral is "bacterial SSU rRNA". It matches the Rfam family "Bacterial small subunit ribosomal RNA", at positions 84 to 598 of the family's 1533-position model. Lineage: Bacteria; Pseudomonadati; Pseudomonadota; Gammaproteobacteria. The record is from RNAcentral.